CCUUUCUCUUUAAACGCCCCUUUCUUUUUCUUUCUCCUUCCUCCUCGAGGUCUGUGGUCUAUUGAAGCGACCUACGAGUUCUUCAUUGAAGUGCGUACUGAACUUUCUCUCUUCCAUUAAAUCAGUUUAUAACGUGAGGUAAUUUUUGUAAAAAAUUAUUGAGUAUCACUUUCACAAUCUGGAUUUAUUAGUAAGCUUCCUGUCUAUGUUUUUGUUUCAUCAAUUUGAAUAGCGAAAAAAAAUUGAAAUGCAUGCAUCUGAAUCAAUUGAUAGAUUAUGCUGAAUCAAUGCAUGUAUCUCUAAAUUGGCGUUUAAUUAUGCUGAUAAUCGCACUUUAAAUUUCAUAUUUUCUGCUUUCAUUCUUCACUAUUUCUCUCCUUUGGUUAGAUUGAAUAAUCGAUUGAUAGAAUUUCACAACCCUUAUUUAGUCUAUCAAUUGAAUUGAGACGAAUUGAUUAUAGUAUAUAUUUUGGGGUUGUUUGGCAAUCGGCGGUUGGUUGUUGGUUGUUGGCUUGGCUUGUUUGACUAGCUGGAAGUAUUAGCCGUAUGGGUUGGCCUUUUAAGUUAUUGUGUUAAGCUGACUGUUUUCAAAAGUGUUUGGUAAAAUUAUUAAUGAUUGUUAGCUGUUUAUUAGUGAUAAAGUAGACCAACAAGCCAAAAGCCAAUAAAAAAAGCUACUCUUAUUAGCUUUUGGCGGAAAAGCUAGCUUAAAAGCCAAUAAAAAAGCCAACAACCAAACAUAUUUUUUGGCUGUUUGACCAAACUUAAAAGCCAAAAGCUAGGCAAAAAGCCAAUUGCCAAACACCCCUUGAUCUUGCGCGUUUUUUUUUUCCAGCUAAGCAGGCUUCUCCCCCGGUGGUGUUAUGGGUAUGCAAGUGGAAUUUGGGCUAUCAUCAUAGACUAAAGCCCGUUCUUUUGCUGAAGAAAUAUAUUCUCGUGCUCUUCAUAAGAAAACUUGGUUAAUGUCAAACCUCCGUGGAACCUUGGUCCUUCUUCGAUAUAUUGGCAGAGUUGCGGAUAAACUGACUCUAUAUGCAAAAGAUUUAUAUUAAACUGGAAAGUUUUUUUUCCCUAUAUUCUCUAUACAAUUUGGUCUUAACAGCUCAGAUGUUUUAACCUAAACUGUGGUUCUGAUGCUGUAUGCUUUUCUGUACAGAUUGAUCUAUUAUUGGAGUAUCUACCUAAUCUUGAGAAGGAUGGAUCUUAGUUUGAAGUAGGUUGCAGCUAUCUGGAUGCCUACUUAUCGACUAAUACCAUAUUGGUUGGCCAUGAUGUGUCGAUUGCUGACACAUUUUUGUGGGCUGCCCUUGCUGGUAAUGAGUCUUUAAUCUCACCUUCUAGACCAAAUAUGGGCUGAAGGAGUAUAAGAGUCAUAGUAUGAGGAAGAAUAAAAAUCAAUAUUUGUUGGCUCUGGGUAACAAGUGGGAAGUUAUAUUAUCUAUGCCUAGAGUUCAUUUGCUGCUAAAGUUUCUUAUAGGUUGAUAGUUCAAGUGAAUAUAUAUGCUAGAAAAAUCCAAUUGACCUGAUCAGAACUAAAGUAACCCCUGCUUCUUUAAGCCUUUUUAUUGCACGACAAUGUAAAUUAUAGUGUUUACCUCUUAGAUUUGUUUUCUUGGCAAUCAUGACAUUUCCAUAAACCAAUUUAAUAAAUACAAUGUUGAAUUUACAAUAACUCUAGGUUUUUACAAGAUAUUAAGUUUGUUAUUUAUUCCUCUGCUUUCAAGGUGUGAAAAUAUACAUUGAAAAUGAUUAUUGUUUGGUUUAGGGAUAUGGUAGUUGGCAAUAUACAUGAAAUCCAACUCGAUCUUUUAAGAGCAGCUGAAUUUUAAUUUUUUUUAGAAUAAGAAAUGUAGAAGUCAUAGAUCUAAACUUUGUAAGAGAACUAUAUAUCUUAAUGGAGCUUUGAUAGAAUGCAUGUGACUAAUUUCAGAAA
Long non-coding RNA from Chenopodium quinoa (quinoa), 1933 nucleotides. RefSeq lists it as uncharacterized. The record is from RefSeq and is a predicted model, not a curated record. The transcript is spliced from 2 exons. NCBI's taxonomy places the organism in Eukaryota, Viridiplantae, Streptophyta, Magnoliopsida, Caryophyllales, Amaranthaceae.